GGGCACAUGGUGUAGUUGGUUAUCACGCUCGCUUAGCAUCUUAUAUCGUUUGCGAGAGGUGUUGGGUUCAAUUCCCAAUGUGUCCA
This is a non-coding RNA of Flammula alnicola, 86 nucleotides long. Lineage: Eukaryota; Fungi; Basidiomycota; Agaricomycetes; Agaricales; Strophariaceae. The record is from the annotation of a GenBank genome assembly.